RNAcentral lists this ribosomal RNA (507 nucleotides) under uncultured bacterium. RNAcentral's name for it is "partial 16S ribosomal RNA". The record is from RNAcentral.
GGAGUUAGCCGGUGCUUCUUCUGUGAGUGAUGUCCUUCCUGCCGGUUAUUGACCCGCAGGCCUUCUUCCUCACUGAAAGUGCUUUACAACCCGAAGUCCUUCUUCACACACGCGGCAUGGCUGGAUCAGGGUUGCCCCCAUUGUCCAAUAUUCCCCACUGCUGCCUCCCGUAGGAGUCUGGGCCGUGUCUCAGUCCCAGUGUGGCUGAUCAUCCUCUCAGACCAGCUACGGAUCGUCGCCUUGGUGAGCCGUUACCUCACCAACCAGCUAAUCCGACAUAGGCUCAUCCGAUAGCGCGAGGCCCGAAGGUCCCCCGCUUUCCCCCGUAGGGCGUAUGCGGUAUUAGCCUGGGUUUCCCCAGGUUAUCCCCCACUACCGGGCAGAUUCCUAUGCAUUACUCACCCGUCCGCCGCUCGCCACCAGGGAGCAAGCUCCCCGUGCUGCCGCUCGACUUGCAUGUGUUAGGCCUGCCGCCAGCGUUCAAUCUGAGCCAGAAUCAAACUCUGA